UGGAAACUNUCUGGCUUGAGUGCAGAAGGGGAGAGUGGAAUUCCANGUGUAGCGGUGAAAUGCGUAGAUAUAUGGAGGAACACCAGUGGCGAAAGCGGCUCUCUGGUCUGUCACUGACGCUGAGGCUCGAAAGCGUGGGUAGCGAACAGGAUUAGAUACCCUGGUAGUNCACGCCGUAAACGAUGAGUGCUAGGUGUUAGGCCCNUUCCGGGGCUUAGUGCCGGAGCUAACGCAAUAAGCACUCCGCCUGGGGAGUACGACCGCAAGGUUGAAACUCAAAGGAAUUGACGGGGGCCCGCACAAGCGGUGGAGCAUGUGGUUUAAUUCGAAGCAACGCGAAGAACCUUACCAGGUCUUGACAUCCCGAUGCUAUUCUUAGAGAUAGGAAGUUACUUCGGUACAUCGGAGACAGGUGGUGCAUGGUUGUCGUCAGCUCGUGUCGUGAGAUGUUGGGUUAAGUCCCGCAACGAGCGCAACCCUUAUUGUUAGUUGCCAUCAUUAAGUUGGGCACUCUAGCGAGACUGCCGGUAAUAAACCGGAGGAAGGUGGGGAUGACGUCAAAUCAUCAUGCCCCUUAUGACCUGGGCUACACACGUGCUACAAUGGUCGGUACAACGAGUUGCGAGCCGGUGACGGCAAGCUAAUCUCUGAAAGCCGAUCUCAGUUCGGAUUGGAGGCUGCAACUCGCCUCCAUGAAGUCGGAAUCGCUAGUAAUCGCGGAUCAGCACGCCGCGGUGAAUACGUUCCCGGGCCUUGUACACACCGCCCGUCACACCACGAGAGUUUGUAACACCCGAAGUCGGUGAGGUAACCUUUUAGGGGCCAGCCG
Molecule: ribosomal RNA, 829 nt
Filed under: uncultured bacterium
Lineage: Bacteria
Description: bacterial SSU rRNA
Rfam family: Bacterial small subunit ribosomal RNA
Source: RNAcentral